RNAcentral lists this long non-coding RNA (230 nucleotides) under Vigna radiata. RNAcentral's name for it is "long non-coding RNA (VRAD_LNC007941)". Lineage: Eukaryota; Viridiplantae; Streptophyta; Magnoliopsida; Fabales; Fabaceae. The record is from RNAcentral.
AUCUCUAACAAGAUAAACUUUUCCACUAUUACAAAACAAUUACAAAUAUUAGUCACCAAGAAAAAUAAUUUGUAAAAGUUUAGAAAUACCACCUCUCUUGAAACCACAAGAGAUGAACUUACAAACACCUCCUUUGAGUAAUCACAAAGGAUGACCACCUCCUCCGAAUUCUUCACGAAGGAUGAUUCUCUUCCAAUCACUUCCUCAGACACACCAAGGAUGAGCAAACU